AGAGAACAGCAUGAAGCGACAGAUGGCAGUUGCGGAGUGCACCUCUGAGAGGGUGGUGUGCGGUGAAGCGGGAGUAGAACAGGAGAGAAGUUGAGCUCCAGUCCUUCUCUUCCGCCGUCUUCGACAACACUCUUUUGCCAGUGCAGCCCUCCAGGGAAUAUGUACUGAGUGACACUUCACAGAACGAAACAGAAAGCAGUGGUUAAUUUGACCCACUACAGAUGACAGAAACGGAACCAACCGAGUGACUGAUGACAAUUAUUUUCAACAUUUAAAAUACCGAAUAAUAUUUCAGAAUCUAAGAAAGUAUAAAAACCACUGUUGCAUAAAUACAAAUAUGUGUCCUUAUCCACGUUUGGCUAGAUAGUAUUUAGCUUAUGGUCCUUAUAAUUUUAUCAGUAUGGUAAUCGUACCUUUCUGUUUAGGAAAAAAAAUAUUUUAUUCAAGUUAGAUUAGAGGUGGUUGUAUAUAUAACCAAUUCUGCUACUAGACUGAAGCAUCCUGAAGAGAGGUGUGUGUUUCAAACAUCCUUUUGUUUUUUUUUUAAUGAUUUUUGUUUUUUCCAUUAUAGUUGAUUUACAGUGUUCUGUAAAUUUCUACUGUACAGCAAAGUGACCCUAAUAUAUAUAUGAGGCAUAUAUAUACAUUACCUCAUUACCCUCCAUCAUGUUCCAUCACAAGUGACCGGAUAGAGUUCCCUGUGACCCCCUGGAUUUUAAGUGGGUUACAUCAUCACUCAGAAUAAAGACCAUCUUUCCUCAGGCUGCCUUCAAACAAAGAAUAUGUAAGCAUAAGUGUAAACCGUCUCUAGCAACCUUCCUUAAGUUAGCUUCCUUUUCCAACCUUUAUUUUUCCUGCUGGCUGGAUGGUGGUUCUGAUGGCUAGAGGUGAGCAGCUGUCUUUGACCAUGAAAUGGUCUUAGAUGAGAGGCCAGUCCUGGCAGAGUAACUUCAUGGAGGCCAAAUCACACCAGUCUGGCCUGGCUCACCCUGGACUUUUAUGUGGGAUCAACUAUCUUAUUCAAGCUGCUGUCACUUGCAACAGGACAUAAUUCCAACCUUUAAAAUCUCUAGCAUAUUUUGUUGAAUAAAUGUUGCAAAUUUUUGGAGUUCCUGCUGUGGCACAGUGGGUUAAGAAUCCGACCGAAGCGGCUCUGGUUGCUGUGGAGGUGUGGGUUUGAUCCCGGGCCUGGCUCAGUGGACUAAUUGAUCAGGCGUUGUGUGGGUUGCAGCUGAAAAUGUUGCAGAUUUUAGGGUGUCCAUUAUUUUUGUUGGCUCAGAAGUUCAUGGGCUGAAAUAGGAAAACAGUGAGGUCAUCCCAAGGUCAGAGGCAAAUGAGAUCUAGGAAUCUAGGAGCUCAAGCAAUAGGAGAUCAGCUAUGGUCUGGCAAAUAAAGGAGAACGAGUCAAAGCUAAAUCUCAGUGAAAGAGACACAGCUUAGUCUGGGGGACUAGGAAUCAUCUGUCUCUGUGGCCUGAAGGAUAGUGAGCAGGUAGCUCAGGAUCUAUGUCAAAGGGUCUCAUCCAGGGUUAGUUUAGCUCCUCAGGGGACUGGGACUUUGGCAAUACCUGGAGCUGUCUUUGGUUGUCACCGCUGGUCAGGGGAGGAGUGGUGCUGAGGGCGUCGAGUGCAUAGAGGCCACAGAUGCUGCUAAAAAUCUUGCCAUGAACAGAACGGCCCCUGUAACAAAGAAUUAUCUGGCCCAAAAUGUUGAUAGUGCUGAGGUGAAGAAACCCUGGUUUAGCUGACUAUAGCUGCCAGAGGUGAAAUGGAUCAUUUAGCCAGCCUGGAUAACAGCUUGGAAAUAGAUGAUCCAGACUUUCAUGUUCAGCAUCAUUAAGCAAAUUUCAUGACUAAGCUUGAGUACCUGCAAAUUGCUCCCAGAAUGCUAAACAGCUUAUACCUCAACGUUCCUCUCGCACCACAAAGAUAAUUGUGCUCUGCCUGAGGCUGAGGCUGUGACAUGCUCACAGCCCUUAGGAAGAGUAUGGAAUAUGAAACAGGAAUGUAUUGGGGCCCUAAGAUCUCAGCUGGAGAAGCCCCUUUCCAUUCUGAAUGUGGGGAGAGGAAUCAACUGGACAAGCAAAGGCUCCUUUGAUGUGUGUCACCUGUGUCCUAAAUGUGGGAAUUGUCCCCACAUUCCCAAUGCCAAGGCUUGUGCAAAAGAUCCGUGUCAGAGAGGCUAAGAGGGCAGAUCUAUUCUUUUUUUUUUUUUUUUGUCUUUUGUUGUUGUUGUUGUUAUUGUUGCUAUUUCUUGGGCCGCUCCCGCGGCAUAUGGAGGUUCCCAGGCUAGGGGUUGAAUCGGAGCUGUAGCCACCGGCCUAUGCCAGAGCCACAGCAACGGGGGUUCCGAGCCGAGUCUGCAACCUACACCACAGCUCACGGCAACGCUGGAUCGUUAACCCACUGAGCAAGGGCAGGGAACGAACCCGCAACCUCAUGGUUCCUAGUCGGAUUCGUUAACCACUGCGCCACAACGGGAACUCCA
RNAcentral lists this long non-coding RNA (2487 nucleotides) under Sus scrofa (pig). RNAcentral describes it as "lncRNA (ENSSSCG00030017839.1)". Lineage: Eukaryota; Metazoa; Chordata; Mammalia; Artiodactyla; Suidae. The record is from RNAcentral.